ACGUACAAGCAGUGGGAGCAUGAGUUUACUCGUGUGACUGCGUACCUUUUGUAUAAUGGGUCAGCGACUUAUAUUCUGUAGCAAGGUUAACCGUAUAGGGGAGCCGUAGGGAAACCGAGUCUUAACCGGGCGUUAAGUUGCAGGGUAUAGACCCGAAACCCGGUGAUCUAGCCAUGGGCAGGUUGAAGGUUGGGUAACACUAACUGGAGGACCGAACCGACUAAUGUUGAAAAAUUAGCGGAUGACCUGUGGCUGGGGGUGAAAGGCCAAUCAAACCGGGAGAUAGCUGGUUCUCCCCGAAAGCUAUUUAGGUAGCGCCUCGUGAACUCAUCUCCGGGGGUAGAGCA
RNAcentral lists this ribosomal RNA (347 nucleotides) under Salmonella enterica subsp. arizonae serovar 18:z4,z23:- str. CVM N27. Its description in RNAcentral is "bacterial LSU rRNA". It matches the Rfam family "Bacterial large subunit ribosomal RNA", at positions 562 to 909 of the family's 2925-position model. Lineage: Bacteria; Pseudomonadati; Pseudomonadota; Gammaproteobacteria; Enterobacterales; Enterobacteriaceae. The record is from RNAcentral.